Molecule: long non-coding RNA, 240 nt
Filed under: Medicago truncatula (barrel medic)
Lineage: Eukaryota; Viridiplantae; Streptophyta; Magnoliopsida; Fabales; Fabaceae
Description: long non-coding RNA (MTRU_LNC002391)
Source: RNAcentral
AUCAUGUCAUUUUUAGUUGUGAACAACUUCAAAUUAUCAAGUCUUCUUCGUUUAAGAACAAAAGGUUAAGACAUAAAUGAUGAAAAUUAUGAAUAUAUUUUGCUAAAUUUUUGUAUUUUUUUUGUCAGAUAGUUUAGUGACUAGAAUUCACCUUAUAAGAUAAAUAAGUGGGGUGUCCGAGAUUCGAAUUCUAACUCCUGCAUAUAAUAAUGCAUUUGUCCUACCAACUGAACUAUGCUC